Hemibagrus wyckioides is the source of this 3752-nucleotide long non-coding RNA. RefSeq lists it as uncharacterized. The record is from RefSeq and is a predicted model, not a curated record. The transcript is spliced from 5 exons. NCBI's taxonomy places the organism in Eukaryota, Metazoa, Chordata, Actinopteri, Siluriformes, Bagridae.
GGUUUUGGUGAAUUGGGGCCAUAUUUUAAUACAUAUUUUAAAAAACAACUUAUGAGGCAUAUCCAAAAUGCUCCACAGAACCUUUCAGAAAUAUUUCUGGAAAAACAAAAGAAAACGCCCACUCAGCUUGGAACUACUCAGGAACUGAAUUUCAUCAGUUGACAAGAAAUCACCAUGGCUGCCAUCAGCAUGAACAGGAGAGGUUGUUGGCUCUACACCAGGCUGUUAGCCGCUGCACCUCCUCUCUGUAUGCUGACUCGUCGUUCUUGCUGAUGAGACCCACCACGGUCGUGUCAUCGGCGAACCUGAUGAUGUGGUUGGAUCUGUGCAUUGCUGCACAGUCGUGAGUCAGCAGAGUGAACAGCAGUGGACUGAGCACACAGCCCUGAGGAGCUCCAGUGUUCAGUGUGGUGGUGCUGGAGAUGCUGUUCCCGAUCCGGACUGACUGAGGUCUCCCAGUCAGGAAAUCCAGGAUCCAGUUGCAGAGAGAGGUGAUAUCUGUCUACACUACUGCUUAAUAAACCUGUUUUUUCUUUUUCCACACAAUCUUCUUACUUAGCCUCAAGAAGGUAAAAAAAAAUAAAAUAAAUAAUAUCUCUUUAUCCUGGUCAGAUCUGAAGAACAGAAUUCUGUCUCAGAAACCCUGGACAUGAGGCUGGAAUACUCCCUGGAUGGGACUCGUAUAAUGUUCUGUUUGAUAACUCUGAGUAUUUUAUUCAUCCAUAAAAGGGGAAACUGGGUGUCAGAACAUCCUGAACACAUGUGAAGACCCAACAGUUCACAGUAAACUCUCAGGAGGAAGGAGAGAGAGAGAGAGAGAGAGAGAGAGAAAGAACUUAUUAAUAGACUUUUUGUCCAGAUUAUGUGUAUGAAAGCUGUUACAGGAGUUUAGGAGGCCUGUGAUGAGCAUUUGAGGUAGUGUGUGUAUAAAUGACUGUGAAGGAGCUGUAAAUAACGUGGCAGUGUAAGAAUGUGUAAUGUGCAGUUGGGUAUGAUAAAUCAGGAGACCUGGGCUGUGUCCAACGUCCAGCUUUUUUCUUUUUAAGGUCAUUUUAAUUGGUUUUAGAAAUGGGUCAACAUUUUUUUAGCUGCUGUGGGUUCGAGCUGUAGGUUUUGGUGUUGAAUGAGUGGCAGUGACAUAUUUAGCCUGACAAUGAGCUAACGCAAGCUGUGUGGGAGAAUCUGAGGUGCAAGAAAAAUUUUCCUAUUACUCUGACUUAUGUAAUAUCUAUGACAUGUGUAAUGUUUGCAGGCAGUUUUGUCAUUCCAUAAUGAGUAUAAUAUUGACUAGAGUGGAGGUUUAUCUCUAUCAGAAGGUGUUCAAAGAUCCAUCGAUCAAACGUUUUUUGAUUUCUUUGAGUAUGGGAGAUUCUUCUUCUUCUUCUUUUUUCAGCUUUUCCCUUCAGGGGUCGCCACAGCGAAUCAUCUCUCUCCACCUAUCCCUAUCUUCUCCAUCCUCAACACUUGCACCCACUAGCUUCAUAUCCUCAUUUAUUACAUCCAUAUUCCUCCUCUUUGUCCUUCCUCUUUGCCUCCUUCCUGGCAGCUCCAUGUCCAACAUUCUCCUACCAAUAUACUCACUCUCCCUCCUCUGAACAUGUCCAAACCAUCUUAAUCUGUCCUCCCUAACUCUGUCCCCCAAACAUCCAACAUGAGCUGUCCCUCUGAUGUACUCGUUCCUAAUCCUGUCCAACCGUGUCACUCCCAAAGAGAACCUCAACAUCUUCAGCUCUGCUACCUCCAGCUCUCUUCCUCAGUGACACUGCCUCUAAACCAUACAGCAUGGCCAGUCUCACCACUGUCUUGUACACCUUCCCCUUGAUUCUCGCCGAUAUUUUUCUAUCACACAGAACUCCCAACACCUUUCUCCACCCAUUCCAACCUCCCUGCACUCGUGAGUAAGGGAAAUUAAACUAAAUAAUAAGUUUACAUUGAAAAGAGAUUGGAAAUUGAGUCCUAAGUGUGGUAACUGGACACUGGAAGCCGUGUUACCUGACGGUUAACCUCAAGGUUGGUGACAGUAAUUCAGCUCUUUCUCACACUAUUCAGAUAAAUAUGCAAUUUGAUAUACAGCUGUUAAUGUAGAGGGAAUAUCUACUCAAAAAUAGUGCUUGUGUAUUUAGGCUUAAAUGAUCAGACUGCCUUUUUAUUCAUGUUUUAUUUACUCAUAUUCCAUCAAACGAAGCUCCUGAAACUAAAGGUAAACGAACAAGGCAGUGACACACUUACAGUUUGUCCACUCUUUCCCCUGUUCUGAUACAAACAUAUUUACAUUUUUCAGUUUCCUGUUCCACUGUGGGAAAGAGAAAACAAACACAAGAGAGAGACCAAGGCCUCUCAGCACAAGUACGGGGGAAAUGCAUUGUCAUAACAGGGUCUGAGUGAAAACAAGAUUCUGCUAUGAAUGAGAAUGACGAAAACACGUCUCGGGCUUAUCGAGCUCUUACAGUAUGGAACAUGGUUAGGCUGUAGUGGAGAAGUCGUGUUGUAUGCUUUGUACUGACAAUUGAUCCGAUCUCUCUCUGGCCGCCUACGCAGAACCAGCAUUAACUUCUUCAGCAAUCUGAGCAACAGUAGCUCGACUGUUGGAUCGGAUCACACGGUCCAGCCUUCGCUGCCCCUUUGCCGCCCUCUUCCUUCCUUGGAGCUCUUUUGAUAGAUAGUGACCACUGCAGACCGGGAACACCCCACAAGAGCUGCAGUUUUGGAGAUGCUCUGAUCCAGUGGUCUACCCAUCACAAUUCAGCCCUUCGUUAAACUCGCUCAAAUCCUGACGAUUGUCCAUUUUUCCUGCUUCUAACACAUCAACUUUGAGGACAAAAUGUUCACCUGCUGCCUAAUAUAUCCCACCCACUAACAGGUACCAUGAUGAGGAGACAAUCAGUGUUAUUCACUUCACCUAUCAGCGGUCAGAAUGUUCCGCCUGAUCGGUGUACACGACAGUGUAUUGUUUAGAAAGCGUCAUCUCAGCAUUUGUGUGUCAGAGGGGCUUCGUACAGCUCAUUUUUCUUCGAAAGCUGUUGCUCAGCUGACAGAAAGUGUUAUGUGGCAAAUUUCACUCUCUCAGUUUAUUUUGGUUUCCCUUUGUAGCAGGGGUCUCACCGUUGAGUCACUGGUGCGAAGCAAUAUUUCACCCCGUCACAUGUGGCCUCGCAUGCAGAGUUCACGCUCCGGUGAUAAAGCUAACGGGAGUGUACGUGAAGGGGAGUCGCGAUGGUGGGCCAAUGAGGACGCAGCAGCUUGUAUAUAAACACAAACAAAUUAGUGUUCACUGAAUUGUUAAACGCUUCUUCUUUCAUGUGUUGCGGGAGCCCCAGGCUUGACUCAGAGUUUCUCAUGGGGGUUUGUGGUGAUGAGUCAGCCGUGUGGAAGUCUUGUGAUCCCACUCCUACACUGAGAAACAGCUCGUCUGUCACUGAUAACAGCUUUUAUUUCGUUUUUUCCUAUAGAGCAGUGUUAACCCUUUGGGGGAAUUUCAUUACGUUGUAAGUGACACAACGGAAAACAGCUCAUUCUGAUUUCUAAUUAAACAAUAUAAGCCUCCGAUACAAUACAAUGGUAUUAAAAUCUAUAAAAUAUUUUUCUUUAAGCAGGAAAGUCACUUUUUAAUCAAACUAAAGGAUCAUGUAUAGGUAUAGUUACCUGUGAUUGUGGAUACUGCUGGAAGCUGUAAAUUUCCCAUUGGGAUGAAUAAAGUAUCUAUCUAUCUAUCUAUCUAUCUAUCUAUCUAUCUAUCUAUCUAUCUAUCUAUC